CGUAUACUUGCGUGUGAGUGACUGAGCGUGGAUUACCGGCGACAUUAUGAAAAAGACCCUGAUGCAGAGACUAGGUGUUUCUUGCAAAACGGAUUGCGCCUCGUCGCAGGCUACGGUAGCCGUCCGUUUUCGUCUACGAUGUUACCUUCCUUCUUUGCGAGAUGUACACUCUGCAUUCGUGCGUGAUGCCUGCACUACACGCACUGAAAGGAGAUUCCUCAUGGGUGACAACCACAUUCACGACCGCCAUUUUGAGUCAGCCUUUACUGCAAGCAUGAUGGAGAAGUGGAAUGAUUCUUGCACAAGAUUUUGGCGAUGGGGCAGCAAGAAACCAAAGUGGGUGGAAAAUGAAUGAUUGAACUUGAACAGAGAUAUGGGGCUGAGUUUAAAGACAUUGAUAAUUCAGAUGCUUUGCUGCAAUGGAGGUGAUGAUGGUGCAGUUUUCCAGCAAGAUGCAGAAACCAGUUCGACAAGAAGUCAAAGUUGAUAUAUCUGAUUAUCACUUGUGAACUUGGAUGUAUUAUUGCCUUUGGAUAUCAUGAACAAUUGACUUUCUUGUUGACUCCCUCUGAGAAGUGGUCUGAAACAUGUAAGAUAACUCAACCAAGGACAAAGAGAGUUGAAGGCAGGUGGCAAAAGAAUGAAUGACUUAGUCAGAAAAGAUGAAUAUGAUCUUUUGAAUAUGAAUGUGGAAGGUAAUUGAUCUUGAUACUAAUGCAAUGCAUUAUGCUGUUUCUAAGUGCCUUGCUUUGAUGAAGGUCAUACUCAUGUACUAUUGUCAUGCAAACGCCAAAUACCAGCUAUAGAUGCUGUGAUCAAGUAUUUAUUACUGUAUGAAAUUUUCUACAGUUGUCGUACAUCUAUAUUUUGCAACAUAUAUAGACACUUUGCCUCAAAGUUACUUGCUGUGACAUCUCUGCACUCUUGAAUAACACACACGCGCGCGCGCGCACACACACAUACGCACGUGUACGCGCGCGCGCACACACACACACACACACACACACACACACACACACACACACACACACACACACACACACAAACACACAAAUGGAUGCGCACUUCAGUAGAGUACUUGAGAUAGCACCCCCAGCCUAUUUCUAGGUGGCUUCCAGCGCUACUCGAGUUUUAGGCUGCGCUGACAUACCCGUAGGAAUUGGCCAGAGCAUCCAAGACACAUUGGCGCAGUCUCAGGACUGGACCUCAAGCCCACGUGUACCCAUACUGCAUGAUGUUUUGCCAAGCCAGCGGUCUUGUCCACCUCAGUCAAUGACCAGGUAAUCGUUUAUACUCAUGCCCAUCCCAUACUUGAACUCAUGACCCAAAAGUUCCGGAUGUUUUCGUUCUUAAAAUGGGCUCUCUAACCAAUUGAGCUAAAGACGUCACAGACACACACACACACACACACACACACACACACACACACACACACACACACACACACACACACACACACACACAGUAGAUUUGUUAAGUAGAUUAAUUCUGUUUGUGAAGUAUGCAAUAAUAUCUUAUGCCAUAUAGAACAUAUUUAAUGUGUGGUCCACUGGAUAUGGAUACCUUAUGCGUUUUGUGUAUUCUCCUAGGAAAGUGAUGAUGCAGAGUCCACAUUAGACAAGGUUUCUGCAGUUGCUCCAUACUUGAUUGUACGUGGCAAUCCAGCCAAACCAAGCCAUGUUAUUGGCAUCCGAGCUCAUCAUCAUGUUUGAAAUUCAGUGCAGCAACAGCAUAUGCCUUCCAGCGCUAUUGCUUGCUGUAAUUUAUGUUUUCAAUACACAUUUCCCUCAAUCUUUAGCAACUUUUUACUGGUGCCUGGAGGCCAUGUUACUGGGAUGUAUUUCAGCUCCAGUGAUAUCUAGUUUUUUAGCUGGAUUGCAAUGAGGAACUUUGUUUGAUGAAUUGUGUUUUGCUUUUUGUUUAGUGCGUUGAUUCACUAUGUUUGGUUUAAAUGUUAAAUACAAGCAAUGGUAUUAAAAUCU
Molecule: long non-coding RNA, 1982 nt
Organism: Corticium candelabrum
Lineage: Eukaryota; Metazoa; Porifera; Homoscleromorpha; Homosclerophorida; Plakinidae
Exons: 5
Source: RefSeq, a predicted model, not a curated record